GACGAACGCUGGCGGCGUGCUUAACACAUGCAAGUCGAGCGGUAAGGCCCUUCGGGGUACACGAGCGGCGAACGGGUGAGUAACACGUGGGUGACCUGCCUCUAGCUCUGGGAUAAGCCUGGGAAACUGGGUCUAAUACCGGAUAUGACUCCAUGACGCAUGUUGUGGGGUGGAAAGCCUUGUGCGGCUGAGGAUGGGCCCGCGGCCUAUCAGCUUGUUGGUGGGGGAUGGCCUACCAAGGCGACGACGGGUAGCCGGCCUGAGAGGGCGACCGGCCACACUGGGACUGAGACACGGCCCAGACUCCUACGGGAGGCAGCAGUGGGGAAUCUUGCGCAAUGGGCGAAAGCCUGACGCAGCGACGCCGCGUGAGGGAUGACGGCCUGGUGU
This 390-nucleotide ribosomal RNA is filed under the name uncultured bacterium. RNAcentral describes it as "bacterial SSU rRNA". It matches the Rfam family "Bacterial small subunit ribosomal RNA", at positions 28 to 422 of the family's 1533-position model. The record is from RNAcentral.